Molecule: ribosomal RNA, 413 nt
Filed under: uncultured bacterium
Lineage: Bacteria
Description: bacterial SSU rRNA
Rfam family: Bacterial small subunit ribosomal RNA
Source: RNAcentral
AAUAUUGCGCAAUGGUCUAACGACUGACGCAGCGACGCCGCGUGAGGGAUGAAGCUCCUCGGAGUGUAAACCUCUGUUGCCAGGGACGAACAGCUGAAUUCAUUCAGCCUGACGGGACCUGGUGAGGAAGCACCGGCUAACUCCGUGCCAGCAGCCGCGGUAAUACGGGGGGUGCGAGCGUUGUCCGGAAUCACUGGGCGUAAAGGGCGCGUAGGUGGCCUGAUAAGGGUGUGGUGAAAGUCCGGGGCUUAACCCCGGAUCUGCCGUGCCGACUGUUAGGCUAGAGUGCUGUAGGGGCAGGCGGAAUUCCGGGUGUAGCGGUGGAAUGCGUAGAGAUCCGGAGGAAGACCGGUGGCGAAGGCGGCCUGCUGGGCAGAUACUGACACUGAGGCGCGACAGCGUGGGGAGCAAAC